RNAcentral lists this ribosomal RNA (119 nucleotides) under Lepisosteus oculatus (spotted gar). The record is from RNAcentral. Lineage: Eukaryota; Metazoa; Chordata; Actinopteri; Semionotiformes; Lepisosteidae.
ACUAGCAGACAUAUCACUCUGCAACUCACAACCGGCAACCCACUGAAACUAAGCAGGGCUGAGCCUAGUCUGUACCUGAUUGAGAGACCUCCUGGGAAAACCUGUGGUUGCUGCUGGAA